GUGAGGAAUAUUGCGCAAUGGAGGCAACUCUGACGCAGCCAUGCCGCGUGCAGGAAGAAGGCGCUACGCGUUGUAAACUGCUUUUAACCGGGAAGAAACCCCAGGACGUGUCCUGGGUUGACGGUACCGGAGGAAUAAGCACCGGCUAACUUCGUGCCAGCAGCCGCGGUAAUACGAAGGGUGCAAGCGUUAUCCGGAUUCAUUGGGUUUAAAGGGUGCGUAGGCGGAGCGUUAAGUCAGUGGUGAAAUCCUGCAGCUUAACUGUAGACUUGCCAUUGAUACUGGCGCUCUUGAGUGCGCUUGAAGUGGGCGGAAUGUGCCGUGUAGCGGUGAAAUGCUUAGAUAUGGCACAGAACACCAAUUGCGAAGGCAGCUCACUAAGGCGAUACUGACGCUGAGGCACGAAAGCGUGGGGAUCGAACAGGAUUAGAAACCCGGGUAGUCA
RNAcentral lists this ribosomal RNA (445 nucleotides) under uncultured bacterium. Its description in RNAcentral is "partial 16S ribosomal RNA". It matches the Rfam family "Bacterial small subunit ribosomal RNA", at positions 354 to 796 of the family's 1533-position model. The record is from RNAcentral.